GACGAACGCUGGCGGCGUGCUUAACACAUGCAAGUCGAGCGGUAAGGCCCUUUCGGGGGUACGACGAGCGGCGAACGGGUGAGUAACACGUGGGUGACCUGCCCUCAGCUCUGGGAUAAGCCUGGGAAACCGGGUCUAAUACCGGAUAUGACUCCAUGACGCAUGUUGUGGGGUGGAAAGCCUUGUGCGGCUGAGGAUGGCCCGCGGCCUAUCAGCUUGUUGGUGGGGUGAUGGCCUACCAAGGCGACGACGGGUAGCCGGCCUGAGAGGGCGACCGGCCACACUGGGGACUGAGACACGGCCCAGACUCCUACGGGAGGCAGCAGUGGGGAAUCUUGCGCAAUGGGCGAAAGCCUGACGCAGCGACGCGCGUGAGGGAUGACGGCCU
RNAcentral lists this ribosomal RNA (388 nucleotides) under uncultured bacterium. Its description in RNAcentral is "bacterial SSU rRNA". It matches the Rfam family "Bacterial small subunit ribosomal RNA", at positions 28 to 417 of the family's 1533-position model. The record is from RNAcentral.